Molecule: ribosomal RNA, 252 nt
Filed under: uncultured bacterium
Lineage: Bacteria
Description: partial 16S ribosomal RNA
Rfam family: Bacterial small subunit ribosomal RNA
Source: RNAcentral
GACGAAGGGGGCUAGCGUUGUUCGGAAUUACUGGGCGUAAAGCGCGUGUAGGCGGUUGCCCAAGUCGGGUGUGAAAGCCUUGAGCUCAACUCAAGAAAUGCACUCGGUACUGGGUGACUAGAGGACCGGAGAGGAUAGUGGAAUUCCCAGUGUAGUGGUGAAAUACGUAGAGAUUGGGAAGAACAGCCAGUGGCGAAGCGGCUAUCUGGACGGUUUCUGACGCUAAGACGCGAAAGCGUGGGGAGCAAACAG